This 445-nucleotide ribosomal RNA is filed under the name uncultured bacterium. Its description in RNAcentral is "partial 16S ribosomal RNA". It matches the Rfam family "Bacterial small subunit ribosomal RNA", at positions 354 to 796 of the family's 1533-position model. The record is from RNAcentral.
GUGAGGAAUAUUGGACAAUGGGCGCAAGCCUGAUCCAGCCAUGCCGCGUGCAGGAAGACGCAUCUAUGGUGUGUAAACUGCUUUUGUACGGGAAGAAACACUCCCUCGUGAGGGAGCUUGACGGUACCGUAAGAAUAAGGAUCGGCUAACUCCGUGCCAGCAGCCGCGGUAAUACGGAGGAUCCAAGCGUUAUCCGGAAUCAUUGGGUUUAAAGGGUCCGUAGGCGGGUUAAUAAGUCAGUGGUGAAAGCCCAUCGCUCAACGAUGGAACGGCCAUUGAUAUUGUUAGACUUGAAUUACAAGGAAGUAACUAGAAUAUGUAGUGUAGCGGUGAAAUGCUUAGAUAUUACAUGGAAUACCAAUUGCGAAGGCAGGUUACUACUUGUGGAUUGACGCUGAUGGACGAAAGCGUGGGGAGCAAACAGGAUUAGAUACCCCUGUAGUCC